Long non-coding RNA from Acipenser ruthenus (sterlet), 3508 nucleotides. RefSeq lists it as uncharacterized. The record is from RefSeq and is a predicted model, not a curated record. The transcript has 2 exons. NCBI's taxonomy places the organism in Eukaryota, Metazoa, Chordata, Actinopteri, Acipenseriformes, Acipenseridae.
AUCAAUUCCACGGCGGGGUAAUAACGUUAAUGACAAGCAUUUUUUUCUGAGUUUGUUCUAUAGUUAAAAUGGCAUCUCUAAACAAAGGAAGCCACGUUUGGAAGUAUUUUGAGGAACCGGACGAGAAAACCGUGGUAUGUAAAUAAUUAUGCCAAACAAAAUUGCCGUACCACAAAAACACAAGUUCAAUGCUUGACAAUUUGAAAUUAAAACAUUCAGAAUUAUUGUGGAUGGAGGUACUGAUGUCAAUAAAAAGCAAAUAACCAUAACAACAUUUGCUAUAGAUUUGGCCGAACAGGAUGUGUCACGUUAUCCCCUAUGAGGACAGUGCCAUUUAUGUUUAGCGCAAUUUUUAUUUGUAUGUUGGAACUACUGCACUAAACUAAAGGACCUCUGAGACACACUUCAAACAGGUGUUGUAAACUGGAAUAUGUUUACUCAAGAAUACAUUCAGGAGCACCGCUCUGAGUUUCAGAUUACUGAGUGCGGACACUGUGGCACCAGCUGCAAGGACUUGGCACCAGGAUAUGUGGGAGAUGGACAGCAUGGAGUUUUGAGAGGCUAUUAUGCUGAAGUGCAACACCCUGGACUCUGUUCAGUGGACUGUGCCCAAGGACACAGUCCAUUUUAAAAUAAUGUGAAAAUCUGUAAACCUUGUAAAUAGAUAUUGGUCUUGUUAAAAUGCAUUACCCUGAAAUGUGACCUUUUGGUCUCAGUCUUAAUUAAUUGUUAGUAAUUUACUUUAUUAUUAUUUAUUUCUUAGCAGACACCCUUAUCCAGGGCGACUUACAAUUGUUACAAGAUAUCACAUUAUUUUUACAUACAAUUACAUUAUUUUUUACACAUUAUUUUUACAUACAAUUACCCAUUUAUACAGUUGGGUUUUUUACUGGAGUAAUCUAGGUAAACUACCUUGCUCAAGGGUACAGCAGCAGUGUCCCCCCAGCAGGGAUUGAACCCACGACCCUCCGGUCAAGAGUCCAGAGCCCUAACCACUACUCCACACAUCUUAAAUAAUAAAUAGUGAGAAAACAAAACCAAAAAAAUCUAUCUGUUAGUUAUUUUUAAACCCUUUCCUUAGCCCUGCCUUAACUCUCUGUUUGUGGUAUGCAGUAGUACAGAGGAGUCAUCUAUUCGGGUAUGUAUUUGCUUACGAUUGUAAGUCGCCCUGGAUAAGGGCGUCUGCUAAGAAAUAAAUAAUAAUAAUAAUAAAUAAUAAUGAUGAUAUCACGUUUUUGAAAGCUAUAGGAAAGCACACUAAGCUGGUCAAAAGGAUAACAAGCUGCUGUCCAGAGAUUCUUGGGCAGGACUUUUUUUUUUUUUUUUGCUGGCUGGCUGGAAUUAACUUGUGUGUUCAGUGUGCAGACUACAGGGAGAGAAAGGCAGCGCGACGUUAAAGAACUCACAAAAUGCUCUUGAUUCAAGGUACACUACCUGUGAAACAUUUUGAGGCCUGAAGAGAAGUGUUAAAAGUGUCCAGUUAAUCAAAUAAUUAGACCAAUGAAGUAAUUGAGAGCUCGGGUGGAAUGAAAGCCAGAAGACACUGCGGCCCUCCAGAAACUGAGUUUGACACCCCUGCUGAACUAAAGCGAAUGUUAAAGUGGCAGUUUCAGUAUUUGUUUUAGUAUGUUUGUGGCCUUCGUAAUUGUCAUAACGCAUGUAGCCUAUUUGUUUCUUCAGAUUUUCUUUUUUUACUGUAUGUUUAUUAAAAUGGUUUCUCCUUUGACCAUGCUGGGAUUUUAGUUGUUGUUGUUCCUAAAUGCAUGUCUGUAUGUGUUUUUACGGUUUACAAAUAAGUCCAGCACACUUCAUGAUCUUCCUUUGUAGAUAUUGAGAUGAGGAAGAGUCCAUUUUUUGUCUCACUGGACUACAGUCUGGCAAAAACACUGUUGAUUUAUACCAAAGAAAAUACUCAACAUAGCUUGGCCAGCUGUGCAAUCCUAAUGAUGUAUAAAAUCACUCCCCUGGGACCAGUAAGAGGAAUUAGCUCAGUGUCAGGGCAGGAGGGAGAGCCAAAGGCAACACUGUGAGCAGCUGCUGCUGCUGAGAUCAGCCUGCACAUCCAGGCUUGCAGGUCCCUGUUUGGGUCCAUGUUCCUCAGGUAAUGUUAAAGGUUUGCUAAACAAGGUAUAAACAUGUAUUUUCUGACUUUUGCAUAUCCGGAAUUAAAAAAAACAAAUCCAGAAAUAUAUUUACCUUGUCAAUGUUUUUACAGACAUACAAGAAUGUGAAAUGAGAAAAAUAUCACUUUUUUGUUGUGGUGUGCUGUGAUAAAGAGAGAAAGAAUCAAUGUUGUAAAUCUCCCUCUCGACCAGAAAUGGCGCUGUGUAAGGUUGGUAGGAAGCUUUCCUCUAGAGUGGCUGACUCGAUGGUAGGUGGAAAUCGGAAGUCGACCAUCUUGGAGGUAGCGCGUAGCUGCAAGUGCACUAAGCGACUCCAUUGCGAUCAGCUGUAGGGCAAGCAGCGAUUGGACAAACAAUGGCACCGGGCUGAUCGCAGGGAGGAGUUCUGGUAGUACAAAGGAGAUGCAGCUACGUCAAUAUGACCCCCUUUCAAUGAAUUAGUAAUCAAGUCGGAGCACUGUUUGUUUUUAUUUUCUGUUGUCUUUUCCAUGCACGAACAUGGGCGUGGAUUAUUGUGUGUUAUUAUUAGGCUUGCUACUUUUUGAUUUUAAUUGGUAAAGCUUGUUAAAUGUCGAAUUCCACAAAAAUAUGAAAAAAUAAAAAUCAGAUAGUAGCAAGCCUACUUAUUAAGAGCUAAAAUUCUGCCAUAUACCCACUGAUAUCAUUGCUGAUAGAAGGGAGGUCUUUUUGAUUUAAAAUCUUUAUUAAAUAUGGAUGGUUCUGAACUGGGACACUUGGUCUGGACAUUCACCUCCUGACACCUUGUUAUUGACAAAAGUAAUUAUUACAGUAACGCAUUUCAUAAAUAACCAGUUACCCCUAACUGUGUAAACCCAAUAAAAUGGGGAGUGUGGCAGGGGAGAGGAAAAGCCCUGCACAUAAUGAGAGGGGGUAGGGCAAAGCCAUGCUUGUAAAUAUUGUAUUAUAAUUUAAAAUGAUUGUUGUUUAAAAUGCAUUGGGUGGUUUGUAUGUUAGUGGUGGUUGGUAGGGAUGGGGUUCAUUUCCUAACCCAAUUGAAUGAUUAAUGGUUAAUAAGCUAAAGCCACAUGGUAUGUAAGCAGGGGGAAAUCCAUUGUUUGGGGAGUUGUGGUUUGUGUGUCUGAGAGGAGUGCUGGGGAGGUGUUUUUUUUUUUUUCUUUUUUUUUUUUUUUUUGGUGUUCCUGUGAAGAUUAGAAAGUGGUCCUUGAAGGUCAAUGCCCAGCCUGACAACAGAAUUGUUUUUGUUUAACCUUUUAUUUUAGCCCUUGUGCUGGUUACUUUGUUCCUGGGUGUUUGGCUCAUGGUGUUCAUGAUUUGUUUUGCUAAACCUUUUUAUUUUGCUCUGUGAGCAGUGUUUUUGAUUUACUUUUGUUUAAUAAAUGCGUGCCCCAGUGCUUAAACCUGCA